RNAcentral lists this long non-coding RNA (1163 nucleotides) under Homo sapiens (human). RNAcentral's name for it is "HSALNT0100728". Lineage: Eukaryota; Metazoa; Chordata; Mammalia; Primates; Hominidae. The record is from RNAcentral.
CUUUUUAAGUCCCUUGCAAAUUAAGGUAGGACAAAUGUUCUCACAAAAUAAACAUUCUCCUGUCUUCAGAAACCACUGAUAAAUAGUCCAGGCCGAUGGAUCCUUGCCUCUCCUCAGAAUAAGGGAGGGCUGUUAUUUUAAAGCAGCAAAUAGAACAGAUCCUCAAGUGCCCUGGCGGAACAGAAGGCUGGACUGUUAAAGUCUGUGACACUCUCAGUGAUGACGUUGGUUUCUAAGGGCUGCAGCAGCCAUACCCAAAGAAAACAUUUUAUAUAUGAUGAUGUAGUAACUAUACUUCAAGUCUUGACUUAAAAAUGUAUAAUUCAACAACAAAAUUACAAUUUCUCUGUAAAAGGAGCACUUUUUAAAAAUCCAAGCCACUUACACUGGUUUGAAAAUAUUUGGGGGGUCUUAACUGCUUCUGAGGCUAUAGCAAGUGGUUUCUCAUAAAAUCAGACCCAAGGGAACUCUCUGAGAGGACCCUAGGCACUUAGAUUUUAUUCCGGGUAUAAUUUAUUCCAAACAGUUUAGCAAAAUGAUGGUCACAUUAUAAGAGCAUACUCUGGAUGCAAAAUGUCCAGGAAAGACAGAAGUAGAGGUGGGGUCCAAGAAACAAUUCCAGUCUCCUAGAAACCAUGCCUUCUGCUCAAGCCAAGUGCUUCUCCUGAUCACGUCCUCCUGGUAACUCCUAGCAGCUGCGAGCAUUGGAACAUAGUCUUACCAGUUCCGGAGCCACCAGGCACCUUCUCUGAACGUCUGAACUAUCAGCCCCUUCCCUCAGAGCAGGCCUGCAGGGACUCAGCAAGGCUGGGUGCUGGAGGGCCACUCUGUAGGUCUGGCCAGAGGGAGACCACACCACCCAAAGAGCCAUUCAGCGACCAAGGCUCCCCUGAGCGGUCGCUGCUGGUGACACAGGCCCUUUGCUGGGAGAGCCCAGCCCUACUCAGAACAGAAGGGCUCACUGCUCCAGCCUCCAGCCUUCAAUCCCAGCUGCAGCUUUUCAGCUCUAGUUUUCCCUCCAGGUUAUCUUCCCUCUGUGGCUUCCAGCGGGUCACCCUGUGAUGCUGCAGUUCCCCAGUCUUUGCAAACGGGGGAGAGAUGACUACUGACUUCCGCGAUGAUUCAUGCUGGUUGUUUACAGCAGAGACAGAGGCAGUGCGCUG